This 311-nucleotide unclassified non-coding RNA is filed under the name Hevea brasiliensis (rubber tree). Lineage: Eukaryota; Viridiplantae; Streptophyta; Magnoliopsida; Malpighiales; Euphorbiaceae. The record is from RNAcentral.
UAACAUUUGAGCCUAACGUUGGUCACAUGGUCAAGUCUAACCUUAUUGUAAUUGUUGGACGUGUGGUCUAUAUAGGCUUGGCUUAUAACAUUGUCACUAUUUCUCAUCUUAACAAAAGAGGUACAUAAUAGAGCAAAUUGCGGUCUACAAUGCAUAUAGUUGUUUUUAAAAAAAAUCAUGUUCAUGGGCUUGAGGCUCUAUUAAGCCAGACUUGGCUCAACUUAAAAAGCGAAUGCUUGGUUAAUGGGAUUCAUAGUUUUUAAAGUUAGGCUAGGCUAGGGAUUCAUAGUUUUUAAAGUUAGGCUAGGCUA